Molecule: long non-coding RNA, 299 nt
Filed under: Glycine max (soybean)
Lineage: Eukaryota; Viridiplantae; Streptophyta; Magnoliopsida; Fabales; Fabaceae
Description: long non-coding RNA (GMAX_LNC002984)
Source: RNAcentral
GCAUUGAAGAAUGGAGAAGGAGCCAAUAGCAGUGUGACGGUGGUGUUUGAAGGGGAACGAGAAACGAGAAGAAAUGGUUCAUUUUGUGGCGGCUGUACGGCAACACUGGAUGGAUGAGGUUCACGGAGUCACUGUAGCUUUCUGACGGUUCUCAGAUUCAGAGGAAACGCAAAGCAAAGCGUCAUGCAAAUAGACACUUUUCAAGUUUCAAUGAAACUGCUAUUUUGUCAAUCUCAGUCAAAUGUCGGGAAAACCGUCAUUUUCUUGUGUUAACUCCUUCAUUUUGAUUUACUGAAGCC